GGACACAGUGUGGAUUGACAGAUUGAGAGCUCUUUCAUUAUUCUAUGGUUGGUGAUGCAAGGCCGUUCUUAGUUGGUGGAGGGAUUUGACUGGUUCAUUCCUAUAAUAAACGAGACUCUAGUCUACUAAGUAGUUACUGACAUGACUUCUCAAUUUUGACCAGAUAACUUUUUAGAAGGAUAAGCAAUGUUUAACUGUAUGAAGUUGAAUGUAAGACUGGAAGAGUCGGUGUGCUGUAAU
Molecule: non-coding RNA, 240 nt
Filed under: Loa loa (African eye worm)
Lineage: Eukaryota; Metazoa; Nematoda; Chromadorea; Rhabditida; Onchocercidae
Description: Eukaryotic small subunit ribosomal RNA
Rfam family: Eukaryotic small subunit ribosomal RNA
Source: Rfam by way of RNAcentral